RNAcentral lists this long non-coding RNA (381 nucleotides) under Homo sapiens (human). RNAcentral's name for it is "HSALNT0290739". Lineage: Eukaryota; Metazoa; Chordata; Mammalia; Primates; Hominidae. The record is from RNAcentral.
GCUGAGGCGGCAUUGGGCAUGGAGCAUCCGAGGGUCCAAGGGUUCUUCUCAGCCACCGUCAACAACCCCAGCUGCUACCAAGAUGAGGAAACUGCCGCUCAGAGACGGCAGCCGACCCAGCCAAGGCCGCACAGCCAGGAUUCAAAGCCAUACCGCUCAGCUCCUGCCUCCAGGCUCUGCCUUUGCAUGUGGCUUCUCCUGGCUCCUGGACCCUUCCCCGGCCCUCCCAGCUGGCUGUGCUGUGACAGUGGGCGGGGGAGUGCCAAGGCUCUGCCCUGCCCCCCGCCCUUGGCAUCUCCGGUCAAUAUGGCACUCACAGCUCCCUGGGCAUGGACCCCCUCCUGCCAUCCCCACUUAAAGUGAUACUUUAAUAAAUUAUGC